RNAcentral lists this long non-coding RNA (460 nucleotides) under Mus spicilegus (steppe mouse). RNAcentral describes it as "lncRNA (ENSMSIG00000025658.1)". The record is from RNAcentral. Lineage: Eukaryota; Metazoa; Chordata; Mammalia; Rodentia; Muridae.
AAAGCUAAAUGAAGGAUGGUCACAGCAAGAUUUUUUUUUUCUAUGGCAGUCACAGCCUUGGGAUCUCAGAAGAACAUCAUGAAGGUUCAGACAUUGGGCAGCUUGCCAAACCCAUGGGAAAACAAUUGCCAGCUUUUCCACUUGGUUAGGGGAUCCACCCUUGCAUCUUCUGCGUGCAUCCAAAUGCAGAGCCUAGGCUACAACAGAAAAUGUUCCAAGAUUAAAGGUCUUCUGUGGAAGGGAAAGAAACUAAGAUGGCAAACUAUACUUUACCACAGAAAAUACUUCUUCGAUCCCUUGUGAGCUGAGUGAAAGAUGUACUUAUUGGUGAUAACAGAAGCAGAAGAAGACACCGUGUUAAAGUGAGAAUUUCCAAUAUUUUGUGAUUGUUUUUUGUUUUUGUUUGUUUGUGUUUGGGAGACUAAGUUUAUAAUAAUGCUUUUCAGGAGCAGACAGGUGA